GUUUUAAUAAUUUAAAUAAAAAUAUUAGUUUUGUAAACUAAAUUUAAGUCAACUUUUAAAACA
Molecule: transfer RNA, 63 nt
Filed under: Convexana sp. 1 JW-2022a
Lineage: Eukaryota; Metazoa; Arthropoda; Insecta; Hemiptera; Cicadellidae
Also listed under: 1 other name
Description: tRNA-Thr
Source: RNAcentral